Molecule: ribosomal RNA, 253 nt
Filed under: uncultured bacterium
Lineage: Bacteria
Description: partial 16S ribosomal RNA
Rfam family: Bacterial small subunit ribosomal RNA
Source: RNAcentral
UACGUAGGGUGCGCGCGUUAAUCGGAAUUACUGGGCGUAAAGCGUGCGCAGGCGGUUUUGUAAGCCAGAUGUGAAAUCCCCGGGCUUAACCUGGGAAUGGCAUUUGGGACUGCAAGGCUCGAGUGCGGCAGAGGAGACUGGAAUUCCUGGUGUAGCAGUGAAAUGCGUAGAUAUCAGGAGGAACACCGGUGGCGAAGGCGGGUCUCUGGGCCGAAAUUGACGCUGAGGAGCGAAAGCGUGGGGAGCAAACAGG